ACUCCUACGGGAGGCAGCAGUGGGGAAUAUUGGACAAUGGGGGAAACCCUGAUCCAGCCAUGCCGCGUGUGUGAAGAAGGCCUUCGGGUUGUAAAGCACUUUCAGUGGGAGGAAAGGUUGAUGGUUAAUACCUAUCAGCUGUGACGUUACCCACAGAAGAAGCACCGGCUAACUCCGUGCCAGCAGCCGCGGUAAUACGGAGGGUGCAAGCGUUAAUCGGAAUUACUGGGCGUAAAGCGUGCGCAGGCGGUCUGUUAAGCGAGAUGUGAAAGCCCCGGGCUCAACCUGGGAACUGCAUUUCGAACUGGCAGACUAGAGUCUUGUAGAGGGGGGUAGAAUUCCAGGUGUAGCGGUGAAAUGCGUAGAGAUCUGGAGGAAUACCGGUGGCGAAGGCGGCCCCCUAGGACAAAGACUGACGCUCAGGCACGAAAGCGUGGGGAGCAAACAGGAUUAAGAUACCCGUGGUAGGCUCUGC
Molecule: ribosomal RNA, 475 nt
Filed under: uncultured bacterium
Lineage: Bacteria
Description: bacterial SSU rRNA
Rfam family: Bacterial small subunit ribosomal RNA
Source: RNAcentral